AUUGAACGCUGGCGGAAUGCUUUACACAUGCAAGUCGAACGGCAGCACGGACUUCGGUCUGGUGGCGAGUGGCGAACGGGUGAGUAAUGUAUCGGAACGUGCCCAGUCGUGGAGGAUAACGUAGUGAAAAUUACGCUAAUACCGCAUACGAUCUAUGGAUGAAAGCGGGGGAUCGCAAGACCUCGCGCGAUUGGAGCGGCCGAUAUCAGAGUAGGUAGUUGGUGGGGUAAAGGCCCACCAAGCCAACGAUCUGUAGCUGGUCUGAGAGGACGACCAGCCACACUGAAACUGAGAGACGGUCCAGACUCCUACGGGAGGCAGCAGUGGGGAAGUUUGGACAAUGGGCGAAAGCCUGAUCCAGCCAUUCCGCGUGCAGGAUGAAGGCCCUCGGGUUGUAAACUGCUUUUGUACAGAACGAAAAGGUUUCUACUAAUACUAGGAGCUCAUGACGGUACUGUAAGAAUAAGCACCGGCUAACUACGUGCCAGCCGCCGCCGUAA
RNAcentral lists this ribosomal RNA (500 nucleotides) under uncultured bacterium. Its description in RNAcentral is "partial 16S ribosomal RNA". It matches the Rfam family "Bacterial small subunit ribosomal RNA", at positions 30 to 523 of the family's 1533-position model. The record is from RNAcentral.